CCUCCGGCCUGUCCGGGCGUUCUCCGUCUUUCUUGUUUUUCCCGGGCGCGUCGGCCGGCGCUUCCGCGUGUUGUGAAAUGUAGACGCUCAACGUCUGCACUGCAGCGCGAACUGGUUUCCUUGAGUACGCACAAAGUGGGCGGAAUUCGUGGUGUAGCGGUGAAAUGCUUAGAUAUCACGAAGAACUCCGAUUGCGAAGGCAGCUCACUGGAGCGCAACUGACGCUGAAGCUCGAAAGUGCGGGUAUCGAACAGG
RNAcentral lists this ribosomal RNA (255 nucleotides) under Segatella copri DSM 18205. RNAcentral's name for it is "Prevotella copri DSM 18205 partial 16S ribosomal RNA". It matches the Rfam family "Bacterial small subunit ribosomal RNA", at positions 522 to 776 of the family's 1533-position model. Lineage: Bacteria; Pseudomonadati; Bacteroidota; Bacteroidia; Bacteroidales; Prevotellaceae. The record is from RNAcentral.